AAGGCACAGAGAAAUGCAUUGAAAAUAAAUUGUAUUAAUUCCUUAAUUCCAAAAUGUCAUACAAUACAAUGUAGAAAAAGAAAGGAAAAGAAAUGAAUGGUUGGAAGCAAAAUUUGCUUUCAGCAGAUGUGCGUCAAGGUUGCCGGUGGUGCCAUGGAUGGGUGGAGGAGCUGACUCUUUUUCGAGAUCUAACUCCGGUCGAAGGCUCCGAUUGUCACUCGGAAUGGAUGAAUGAGGUGAACUCUCACCUGUCUUCCCACGCAUUUGUCUGGAUUGCAAGGAUCCGCCAUAUGCGAACCUCAAGCGAGAACCUUGGAUAAAAUGAAUUUCAGCUCAUCGGCUUCUAUUUAUAAAGCCUGGGUCGCCGACAGCAUUAAUUGGACUGCUCUGAGUCUGACGUUAAAUACGUUUGUCUUUUCUGAACCUCUGCCACUAACGGCAUGGUAGGUGAAAUGUCAACAUCAUCUUUGGAUUUUCUCAAGGUAGAUGCGUUGAUGCGUUCAUUCCACCUACUUUGCGUUGAUCCCAUUAGUUGCGUUGUCCCGCAGCUGCAAACAUUCAAUGACCGCAUUCGCUUAAUACCGCAACUCUACACGAUGACUGCAUUCAUUUGACGAGCACAACUCCCAUGCGAUGGACACAUACGACUGAUUAGCGUAACAUCCAUGGGUUGAUCGAUGUGUUUGUCUUUGUGAUGGAGUGUUUCGCCGCAUGCGGUCAUCUAUGUGGUGGUUCGGUUUCCGUGUUUGCAUUCAUUUUCUGCAUUAGCUACAAAGAUAGAACAUUGAACGCAUAAUUAACGCAAAAUAGCGAGUUAGCUGAGAUUCGACAUGCUGAUCGAUGUAAGCUCAUAUUCUUGUGAAUUCUUAUCAUGAUCGACGCAUAUUCUUCCUAACAACCUUCUUAAUUCUAAGUAAAAUGCCUAAGAUGACAUGCAUUUUUGCAUGUCAUCAAUGAGUAAAUUUUUGUUAUCUAUUUAUGUGGGAAUCUUGAAGAAUUAGUUGUAAGAGGAAACAUGUUGAUAAAUUUACACCUCCAACUCAAGUAAAGAAGAAAAAUGUGGUUAAGCAUCCUCUCCUAGGUGUAGCUACGUCACUAUUCAAAGUAAUUUUCGCAUAGAACGUAGCACAUGAUGUUCCACACAAUAUCGUUACAGAAAUGAUGGGCUAGAUGUCGGACGAGAAUACUGACAACGAGGUUCGAGAGAACUUCUUUAAACCACUCACCAAGCAAUUCUUCAAGAAAUUGAUUUCCCCGAGUUUGUGGGUUGAGUGCGAUAACAUAAAUACUUUAUUUUACUUUAUGAAAGAAAAAUUUAUACCCGGACUAACAUGUGCAUGCACAAGUUCACCAUCUUGCCAAUUGAUGUAACGAGACACCUUAACGCUCAUUGCGGGGUAUUUAAACGAAUAAAGAAUAAGACAUUUCUGGAGGCUGCCCUAGCAUGGUAGGAUGAAGACACGUAUAAGUACUAUGUCACCGGUAAAUUCGAUGUCAAAUGGGCAAAUGUGGAUUUCAUUUAUACGACAAUGAAUAUCAGUGAGCAUUGGAUGGUCCUUGCAAUGGACAUUAACAGAGGCCACAAUGACAAAGCUGGUGAACUGGCUAGAGCCAUUGACUGUCACAGUACCAUCCCUACUUCACGAUUGUGACGUGGAUCGUUCAAAGUCGAACCUAUCCAUAGUCCGUUGGAAAAUCUCAUGACCUAUGAACAUCGACAUACAGCACAGGCCGCUUGAUUGUGGCAUCUUUGCAAUAAAAUUACUAGAACACUUGGUGACUAGUGUUGAUUCGUCCGUAAUCACUUAGGAGAAGAUGAGUGAAUAUAGGAUGCAGUUAGCACGUCAACUAUGGGCGAACACUCCAUAUUUUUUAUGUGUAUACAACAUGUAUUUUUUUAUGUAUGUAAAACAUGUAUUUUUUAUGUAUGUAAAACAUGUAUAAUUGAGCUACUGCUCUUUUCAUUGUAUCAUUGUAUCAAUGGUAUACAUGUAUAAUUGAACAUGUAUUUUUUAUGUAAGUUUAAUGUUCAAAGUUUAAUAUUAUACAUUUUAUCAAAACAUGUAUAAUUGAGCUACU
Molecule: long non-coding RNA, 2079 nt
Organism: Benincasa hispida (wax gourd)
Lineage: Eukaryota; Viridiplantae; Streptophyta; Magnoliopsida; Cucurbitales; Cucurbitaceae
Source: RefSeq, a predicted model, not a curated record